Molecule: ribosomal RNA, 611 nt
Filed under: uncultured bacterium
Lineage: Bacteria
Description: bacterial SSU rRNA
Rfam family: Bacterial small subunit ribosomal RNA
Source: RNAcentral
AGGAUUAGAUACCCUGGUAGUCCACGCCCUAAACGAUGAAUACUAGAUGUUUGGUACCUAGCGUACUGAGUGUCGUAGCUAACCCGAUAAGUAUUCCGCCUGGGAAGUACGGCCGCAAGGUUAAAACUCAAAGGAAUUGACGGGGGCCCGCACAAGCGGUGGAGCAUGUGGUUUAAUUUGAUGCAACGCGAAGAACCUUACCUGGGCUUGACAUGUCCGGAAUUCUGCAGAGAUGCGGGAGUGCCCUUCGGGGAAUCGGAACACAGGUGCUGCAUGGCUGUCGUCAGCUCGUCUCGUGAGAUGUUGGCUUAAGUCUCGCAACGAGCGCAACCCUUGUCCUUAGUCAGCCAGCGGUUCGGCCGGGCAUUCUAGGGAGACUGCCGGUGACAAUCCGGAGGAAGGUGGGGAUGACGUCAAGUCCUCAUGGCCUUUAUGUCCAGGGCUACACACGUGCUACAAUGGCGGGUACAGAGCGAAGCCUAGCCGCGUGUAGGAGCAGACCCCAGAAAGCCAGUCGCAGUUUGAAUCCCAGUAUGCCACUACAGUGCAUGAAGUCGGAAUCGCUAGUAAUCACGGAUCAAGCAUGCCGCGGUGAAUACGCUCCCGGCCGU